AAAAAUGUAUAUAAAAAUAUUAGAGUAGUAAUAGUUAUGAUCUUGAAACUCAAAAAAUUUGGCGGUAUUUUAGUCUAUUCAGAGGAACCUGUGGUAUAAUCGAUAUUCCACGUUGAAUCUUACUUAUUUUUGUUUUUCAAUUUGUAUACCGCCGUUAUUUAAAAAUUUUUAAAGAAUAAUAAUUUUUAAAAUUUCUUAUUAGAGAAAAAGUCAGGUCAAGGUGCAGUUUAUAAAUAAGUAUUUCAUGGGUUACAAUAAAUUUAUUUAAAUGAAUUAAAUUAUGAAAUUAAUUUAUGAAAGUGGAUUUGAUAGUAAAUUUUUAAAGAUUAAAAAAUUGAUU
RNAcentral lists this ribosomal RNA (340 nucleotides) under Hydrophorus rogenhoferi. Its description in RNAcentral is "partial 12S ribosomal RNA". The record is from RNAcentral. Lineage: Eukaryota; Metazoa; Arthropoda; Insecta; Diptera; Dolichopodidae.